RNAcentral lists this ribosomal RNA (292 nucleotides) under uncultured bacterium. RNAcentral describes it as "partial 16S ribosomal RNA". The record is from RNAcentral.
GGACUACAAGGGUUUCUAAUCCUGUUUGCUCCCCUUGCUUUCGCGCCUCAGCGUCAGUUACAGCCCAGAAAACCGUCUUCACCACUGGUGUUCUUCCACAUAUCUACGCAUUUCACCGCUACACGUGGAAUUCCGUUUUCCCUAACUGCACUCUAGUUGGAUAGUUUCAAAUGCCGCUCCGGGGUUGAGCCCCGGAAUUUCACAUCCGACUUAUCCUACCGCCUACGCGCCCUUUACGCCCAGUAAUUCCGAUCAAUGCUUGCACCCUCCGUAUUACCGCGGCUGCUGGCAC